RNAcentral lists this ribosomal RNA (317 nucleotides) under Acinetobacter baumannii Naval-18. RNAcentral describes it as "bacterial SSU rRNA". It matches the Rfam family "Bacterial small subunit ribosomal RNA", at positions 62 to 381 of the family's 1533-position model. The record is from RNAcentral. Lineage: Bacteria; Pseudomonadati; Pseudomonadota; Gammaproteobacteria; Moraxellales; Moraxellaceae.
UCGAGCGGGGGAAGGUAGCUUGCUACCGGACCUAGCGGCGGACGGGUGAGUAAUGCUUAGGAACCUGCCUAUUAGUGGGGGACAACAUCUCGAAAGGGAUGCUAAUACCGCAUACGUCCUACGGGAGAAAGCAGGGGAUCUUCGGACCUUGCGCUAAUAGAUGAGCCUAAGUCGGAUUAGCUAGUUGGUGGGGUAAAGGCCUACCAAGGCGACGAUCUGUAGCGGGUCUGAGAGGAUGAUCCGCCACACUGGGACUGAGACACGGCCCAGACUCCUACGGGAGGCAGCAGUGGGGAAUAUUGGACAAUGGGGGGAAC